AAAUAGAGUCCUAUUUGAAAAUUACCUUGGCAUGUUUUAAAUUUGGGCCUAUUAAACAAUGUUGUGACUAAACAUACUUAAAUUAAACCAAUGAUUUCAUUAAUGUUAUUUUAGUUGUUUUUAAAUAUAAUCUUACAUAAUCAUUAGCUUAAACCUAUCUAAUAUGUGUUUCCAGCGGAAAACUCAUCGUAGUCGUCGUCUGGAGCUAGAGUAAAAAAGCCAUGAGUAGUGAAAAGUAAAAUUAGAGAGUAAUGAAGGUGAGAUGGUGUUAAACCAUGAAGAUGAUGAAAGCGAAUCUCAAGAGUUGGAACUACAUCUGUGCUUUUGUAUGUAAAGAUACAGACUAUAAGAGUACAUGCCAAGAUUCAGGCACAAGCCUGAUCAGUGGUAAGAGUACUGGAAAGACAUCAAGAAGCUGGAGCGUGGUGUACAUGCUCUGUCCAGAAUCGAAUAUAUGACAUGAUAAAGAGAGGAAGUUUACAAACCAAGUCUGUUAAACUUUUGAUUCUUGAUGAAUCAAAUGAAAUGCUGAGCAACGGUUUUGAAAAACCACAUUUACGAUGCUUACAGAUACGAUGUUCAGAUUUGUUUUAUUUCUGCUACUUUCCUCAAAAGAUUCUGGAGUUGACAAACAAGUUUAUCAUGGAUCCUGAGAGAAAACUUGUGAAGCGUGAUGAGUUGACACUUGAAGGAAUCAAACAAUAUUAUAUAGAUGUUGGGGAAGAAGAGUGGAAGUUUUUUUUUUUUUUUUGCUAAAAGAAGAAUGGAAGUUUGAUACACUUCGUGAUCUUUAUGGGCGGCUAUUAUCAAAAGCUAUUAUCUUCUGCAACACAAGAAAGGUGAUUUAGCUUACUGAGAACGUGGGGAGUAGUAAUUUUGUAGUGUCAUCAAUGUAUGGAGACAAACAUCAAAAAGAGAGAUGGAAUCAUGAACGGAUCUGGUCUUUUAAAAGUCGCUUCUCAAGCUCCCACUACCCUUCGAUGGCAAUGGACAGUCCAGAGAUAAGUUUCUUCACGCAUUACCAUCUCGGUUCAAGCUCGGGUUAUUCAGACAUGUCUGAGCGUCUUUUCAUGUUUGGUGAUUGUGGAGGUGGUGUAGCUGGUCAGAUUGGUCAUUCUCUUGGUUCCAAACAAGAAGUGGAAAGUGUAGAUAGUAGAGUUUGCCAAGUCUAAGAACAUGUGAGAACAAAGACAAUACUUUGUACUAUUAUUUGUUAGAAAAAAAUAAUAUCCGCGCAUCUGCGCGGGUCAAUCUCUA
Long non-coding RNA from Raphanus sativus (radish), 1257 nucleotides. RefSeq lists it as uncharacterized. The record is from RefSeq and is a predicted model, not a curated record. The transcript is spliced from 5 exons. Lineage: Eukaryota; Viridiplantae; Streptophyta; Magnoliopsida; Brassicales; Brassicaceae.